UCAGGGUUGACUCUGCCUUCAAUUCAGCCUGCUAAUGAUAAUCCGGCACCACAGCAAUAAGUCUGGAGGUCUUUGUGUUCUCCUCCAAAGUAGUUGUGAUUGAUCUUGAGUCCCAAUCAGGGUUGACUCCACCUUCACGUGAGCCUGCCACUGAACAUCUGACACCACAGCAAUAAAGCUGGCAGUCUUUGUGUUUUCCUAUCAAGUAGUUGUGACUGAUCUUGAGUCCCGUUCAGGGUUGAUUCCACCUUCAAGUGAGCCUGCUAGUGAAUAUUCAGGACCACAUCAGGAAAGCUGGUGUUCUUUGUGUUCUCCUCCCACGUAGUUGUGACUGAUCUGGAGUCCCCAUCUAGAUUGACUCUGCCUUCAAGUGAGCCUGCCGCUGAACAUCCAGCACCACAGCAAGAAAGCUGGUGGUCUUUGUGUUCUCCUACCAAGUAGUUGUGACUGAUCUCGAGUCCAUGUCAGGGUUGAUUUCACCUUCAAGUGCGCCUACCACUGAACAUCUGGCACCACAAGAAGAAAGCUCGUGGUCUUUGGGUUCUCCUCUGAAGUACUUUGCACAGAUCUCCAGUCGCCAUCAUGGUUCAGUUUGCCUUCAAGUGUGCAUGCCACU
Molecule: long non-coding RNA, 616 nt
Organism: Sapajus apella (tufted capuchin)
Lineage: Eukaryota; Metazoa; Chordata; Mammalia; Primates; Cebidae
Exons: 2
Source: RefSeq, a predicted model, not a curated record